GCUCAACCAGCCCCCACAGCAGUGGGAGAGGAGGAGACAACAGUAAGCGUGAGCAAUGUCGUUUCCCCCUCCCUCCUCCUCCUCCUCCUCUCCUCCCUCUCAUUCUCAUGCUCCUUCUCCUUCAUUGCCACGGCCAUCAGAAUCCAUCCUCCCUCUCUCGCCAUCAUUCUGCUUGGUUAUGCAAUGCACAUUCCUCCCACAGAGACUAACUGGUGUUGGAGACCUACCGUAACACUGCUGUCACAGGCGAUAGGUGCAGCUCCAUAUUGCCAUAGCGACUGUCUGGCGCUCCAGCUGCCUCUGCCUCUCAAUAGACGUCUGCUCCGUGGGAUAUUACAGCUUUUCCUCCUCUUCUGGAAUAUCACCAGCCAGACUCGACUAAUUCAGGGACGUGUCCGUUCUUACCUAGCUCAGCGGAGGCUGGGUGUCACCGAGACACUAUCAGCUGAUCCUACAGACAUAAUCAUGCACAGCGUUGGACUGGAUGGCAUGGGAGCUUCAGUGAUGGGCAAGGGGUUUUUUUGAAAGGCAGUAAUUAUACUGUUCCCCAGAGGAAUAAGAAGCAAGCAGAAGGGAGCCUACAGAUUUAGUGAUAGUGGAGAGGGAGGUGGAGGAGUUGUGUGGAGGAGUUUAGGCUAAGCGGUGACAGGGAACUCAACAGAGAGGGCAGACAGAGAGGAUGGGAGGAACGGCGGGGAGGCGGGAGGGGCAAAUGGGGAGAGGGUAUAUCCUCGCCCCAUCAAAACAGGCUGCUAGCGCUUUAGCAGCAGCAACGCAAACCUGCUGAUAAAAAAAAGGACUGCGAAGACUUGUGAGGGGGAACUUAAUCGAAAGGGAAGUUGGGGGGGUGGGGGGUUGUUGAACCUGACAGGUGGCGCUACAGACUGGGGGAGUGGAGAAGUGACACAAGAAGGUUUUCACUGAAGCGCUACUGAGCACCGUGAAGUCAUCGUGGCACUACUACCUUCUAUUCCUCUCUCCGUCACUUUGUCUGUCGCUCGCAGGCACUGGGACUGUGGCUACACAGCCAUUCUCUACCCCUUUGUCCCCCGGGGUCUCCACAUGUAGCAUGCCCUUACAGCCAUGGUUUUCCAGUGAGGAUCCAAAAAGCAUGCCGGAUGAUGUUGUCUUACACCUUAGACGCCUUAGGAUAAGUGUCCCCUUACCAGGUUAGGUGAGCAUCAGGAUCAUGGGCACCACGGUUAUCACCCUUGAGGACGUGCGGGCACUGGAGGUCAAGGAGGAGCAGGAGGAGUCCAUCUUGGCCAUGUUAGGCAUCAUCGGCACAUUCCUUAACCUCUUUGUGAUCGUUUUUGUUUACAUCUACACCACGCUGUGAAGUGCCAAAGAUAAGGGACUUCUAAAAACCUGCCAUCAGAAAAGACUUCCACAAGGAAAGAGGAAGUGAGCAUAAGUGAAGGACAAGUCCAUUAGAAAGUCAGUUAGAGUCAAGUUUGACAUGAACAUCUUCCCCCAGGUGAGGAGGAAGAAACUGGACAGGCUACAUAAGGAUGAAGACAAAGAAGCCAUAUUGCCAGGUCACAGCCAUGAGCUGGGGAGAUAACAAAGGGCUGGAAGACAUGGCAGAGACAGGGCCAUGCUGGUACCAGGGUGAGCAGGGACAGAUGGACAUGAGCAAGCCUUAAGCCAGGACUGACCCCCCUGUGGCUUGACGGGAAAUACAAACUUCCACUUGAUCUCAUUUUCUCAGACUGCUGGACUCAUUGGAACGAUGAGCCAAACAAGACAGUCUUGUGGACAACACUGAUGCUUUUCCAUUCAUUUUUACUUAAUUUUCAAGUUGGUGGGACUGUAAUUGCUACUUGAAUGGAAGGGCUUUUAAACAUCAUGAUUAAAAGCAGAAAGAGAACUAAUAACUAUGCUGUGAAGCUUCUCUGGGGACACUAUUGGCCACCAUAUUCAAUCAGUCUUCAGAGCCAAAAAUGUUACACUGUAGCUUCAGGGCCCCUGUCAAAAAGUAGCCUUCCUCAGAAACAUGGCUCUGGACGAGCUCUGUUGUACUGUCAUCUCCUAAAAUUCCUGCAGUUUCAAAAAUGCCCUCAUUCCACAAAUAAAAACCAUCAACAAGAAAUGCCCAUUUAGGGAAAAUAUGUGCAACAGCUUCAACAUCAUGUUGAGGGUGAAUUUCUGCAGAAACUUCCAAAAAGUGAAAAUACCCCCAGCAAGGGAUAUUUUUAAACACUGAAAACAGGUCUGAUAAAUCAGCAAGACAUCAAAGAAUGAAAUCAACUUGUUCUUAAACCAUGAUUUACAUGUAAGAUGAAACUGGGCCAAUCUUUCUGUUUCUGCAUCUCUGUCCACAUUUUGAAGUUGGUGAGUGGGAAGGGGGUUUGGAAGAUUCUCUGAAUUUUUUUGUUCAUGUUGAUUUCAGGUUAGUGUCAGCAAUCCUUUUCCUGUAUCAAAAACGCUUUUUAUAAAUAUUUGUAAAGUCUAGAUGUAUUGUGCAAUAGGGGACAUUUGAACAAUAAACAUCAGAGCAUAUCAAUAA
Epinephelus lanceolatus (giant grouper) is the source of this 2509-nucleotide long non-coding RNA. RefSeq lists it as uncharacterized. Lineage: Eukaryota; Metazoa; Chordata; Actinopteri; Perciformes; Serranidae. The record is from RefSeq and is a predicted model, not a curated record.